This is a long non-coding RNA of Chelonia mydas (Green sea turtle), 524 nucleotides long. RefSeq lists it as uncharacterized. Lineage: Eukaryota; Metazoa; Chordata; Testudines; Cheloniidae. The record is from RefSeq and is a predicted model, not a curated record. The transcript has 3 exons.
UGAUGCUUUUGCCGGGGACAGAACAGGAAUGGAGUCUUAGAAUUUAUGCUUCUCAGGAGGGAGUGACGCCUGGCCCCAAAGGAAGGAGAAGCUGCUAGAUCUCCAGAGGGGACAUGGUGGAGAAGGAGCAGUAAAGACGGUCUCACAGGAAGCUGCUUCAAGACUGUGUCAUGGGCAUGUUUCGAGGAAAGGCGAUUUGGCAGCACCAGAGCUGAAUAAGGGAAGAAGACGCGUAUUUGUCCUGCGCUGAGUGGGAAGGAUGGAGAAACCAAGACAGAAUAAAAACAGGAGGAAAGGAAGGGGAAGCAGGUGCAAGCACGAGCAUUCCAUUGCCUGAAAUCUCUGAGGUGCAGACAGGGUGGAAGCUGCCCAUGGAAGGAACAUACCUACAGGCCAGACAUGCUGGGAGCUGCUUCUGUGCACUCAGGAGGAAGCACAAUCACCGCAAAGUCAUAAGCCAAACUGAAUGGAGAAGUGCAGUUUGAAAACCUGCCCCAUGUUUACGAGGAAACUGCUAUUUGAGU